RNAcentral lists this ribosomal RNA (265 nucleotides) under uncultured archaeon. RNAcentral's name for it is "partial 16S ribosomal RNA". It matches the Rfam family "Archaeal small subunit ribosomal RNA", at positions 717 to 982 of the family's 1478-position model. The record is from RNAcentral.
ACACGACUACAUUAGAUACCCCGGUAGUCCUAGCCGUAAACGAUACUCGCUAGGUGUCGGCCACGGUGCGACCGUUGUCGGUGCCGUAGGGAAGCCGUGAAGCGAGCCACCUGGGAAGUACGGCCGCAAGGCUGAAACUUAAAGGAAUUGGCGGGGGAGCACCACAACGGGUGGAGCUUGCGGUUUAAUUGGACUCAACGCCGGGAAGCUCACCGGAUAAGACAGCGGAAUGAUUGCCGGGCUGAAGACCCUGCAUGACCAGCUG